CACAGAGAACCACGUGGAGGAAAAGCACGCGAGCUUGGAGGGGGUGGAGCGCCAAAAGAGGUGGACUGGAAUGUGACACGACGGGGCAGCUGGAAGGUUUAUUAACAUAUUACAGCAUAGCAGAAAGAUUCAAACGGCUCCACGUGGUGCUUUGAGAUUCAUCCCAACUGUAGGCUGAAUGACCUGCUGACAGACAGACAGACGGCCAAAGUCCAAAAGUUUCAGCAUUUCCUUAAUGUCAGGAUAUACUUCAAUGACAUUGAAAUGACCGGGGCUGAGACCUGGGACAUAGUUAUCUCUCCUUUCUCUCUCCUCCUCCUGCUGCUUGAUGGAGAUACCUCUCACCGGGCCUCUUUGAAUCCGUUUCAUCAGGGCCUGGCAUGGAGUGUGCACUUAAUAAAUGCUGGAAGAAAUAUUGCCUGGGUCAGGGAUGCAGUUGAUGGCCUGUGUGCUCUGAGAGCUGUGACACCAACCAGCAGUUGUGAGCCAGCCUAGACACUGAACCCUCAAUGGCUUCCUCUCCCUUUCCCCAAGUUUUGCAGGAUAUAGAAGAAAUAAAAAUAAAAUUUCUUUUUUGGU
Molecule: long non-coding RNA, 579 nt
Organism: Lemur catta (Ring-tailed lemur)
Lineage: Eukaryota; Metazoa; Chordata; Mammalia; Primates; Lemuridae
Exons: 3
Source: RefSeq, a predicted model, not a curated record